AUGAGAAGAGAGAAGCUGUGGAAAAACACCAGGUUCAGGAUGAGAAGAGAGAAGCUGUGGAAAAACAACAGGUUCAGGGUGAGAAGAGAGAAGCUGUGGAAAAACAACAGGUUCAGGGUGAGAAGAGAGAAGCUGUGGAAAAACACCAGGUUCAGGGUGAGAAGAGAGAAGCUGUGGAAAAACACCAGGUUCAGGGUGAGAAGAGAGAAGCUGUGGAAAAACAACAGGUUCAGGGUGAGAAGAGAGAAGCUGUGGAAAAACAACAGGUUCAGGGUGAGAAGAGAGAAGCUGUGGAAAAACAACAGGUUCAGGAUGACAAGAGAGAAGCUGUGGAAAAACAACAGGUUCAGGAUGACAAGAGAGAAGCUGUGGAAAAACAACAGGUUCAGGGUGAGAAGAGAGAAGCUGUGGAAAAACAACAGGUUCAGGGUGAGAAGAGAGAAGCUGUGGAAAAACAACAGGUUCAGGGUGAGAAGAGAGAAGCUGUGGAAAAACAACAGGUUCAGGGUGAGAAGAGAGAAGCUGUGGAAAAACAACAGGUUCAGGGUGAGAAGAGAGAAGCUGUGGAAAAACAACAGGUUCAUGGUGAGAAGAGAGAAGCUGUGGAAAAACAACAGGUUCAGGGUGAGAAGAGAGAAGCUGUGGAAAAACAACAGGUUCAUGGUGAGAAGAGAGAAGCUGUGGAAAAACAACAGGUUCAGGGUGAGAAGAGAGAAGCUGUGGAAAAACAACAGGUUCAGGGUGAGAAGAGAGAAGCUGUGAAAUGACUUUGGAACAUUGAUCAAUGUUGUUCUGCUUUAGAUAACUUUUACCACAGUUCUAAUGCAAUGCUCCAACCAGCUGA
This is a long non-coding RNA of Oncorhynchus keta (chum salmon), 844 nucleotides long. RefSeq lists it as uncharacterized. The record is from RefSeq and is a predicted model, not a curated record. NCBI's taxonomy places the organism in Eukaryota, Metazoa, Chordata, Actinopteri, Salmoniformes, Salmonidae. The transcript has 5 exons.